UCUGAUAUGGCAGAAUAGUGCGGUAGAUUUAAGCUCUACAUAUAAAGGUUACACUUUUAUUAGAA
RNAcentral lists this transfer RNA (65 nucleotides) under Deracantha onos. RNAcentral's name for it is "tRNA-Leu". It matches the Rfam family "tRNA". From Rfam's summary of the family: Transfer RNA (tRNA) molecules are approximately 80 nucleotides in length. Their secondary structure includes four short double-helical elements and three loops (D, anti-codon, and T loops). Lineage: Eukaryota; Metazoa; Arthropoda; Insecta; Orthoptera; Tettigoniidae. The record is from RNAcentral.